UACAGAGGCCUCAAGCGUUAUCCGGAAUUACUGGGCGUAAAGGGUGUGUAGGUGGUCUAGUUAGUCUUUUGUUAAAUUCUUCGGCUUAACCGGGGGCAUGCAAGGGAAACGGCUAGACUUGAGGGUGUGAGAGGUGCACGGAACUCAUGGAGUAGGGGUGAAAUCCGUUGAUAUCAUGAGGAACACCAAAAGCGAAGGCAGUGCACUGGCACAUUCCUGACACUCAAACACGAAAGCGUGGGUAGCGAAUGGG
This 253-nucleotide ribosomal RNA is filed under the name uncultured bacterium. Its description in RNAcentral is "partial 16S ribosomal RNA". It matches the Rfam family "Bacterial small subunit ribosomal RNA", at positions 524 to 776 of the family's 1533-position model. The record is from RNAcentral.